GAUGAAGAACGUAGCGAAAUGCGAUAAGUAGUGUGAAUUGCAGAAUUCAGUGAAUCAUCGAAUCUUUGAACGCACAUUGCGCCCCUUGGUAUUCCAUGGGGCAUGCCUGUUCGAGCGUCAUCUACACCCUCAAGCUCCGCUUGGUGUUGGGCGUCUGUCCCGCCUUUGCGCGUGGACUCGCCCCAAAUUCAUUGGCAGCGGUCCUUGCCUCCUCUCGCGCAGCACAUUUGCGCUUCUCGAGGUGCGCGGGCCGCGUCCACGAAGCAACUAUUACCGUCUUUGACCUCGGAUCAGGUAGGGAUACCCGCUGAACUUAAGCAUAUCAAUAAGCGGAGGA
Molecule: unclassified non-coding RNA, 337 nt
Filed under: soil metagenome
Description: partial contains 5.8S ribosomal RNA, internal transcribed spacer 2, and large subunit ribosomal RNA
Rfam family: 5.8S ribosomal RNA (bases 1-120)
Source: RNAcentral